AUUGAACGCUGGCGGCAGGCCUAACACAUGCAAGUCGAGCGGGGUUUUCGGACCUAGCGGCGGACGGGUGAGUAAUGCGUAGGAAGCUGCCCGAUAGAGGGAGAUACCAGUUGGAAACGACUGUUAAUACCGCAUAAUGUCUACGGACCAAAGUGUGGGACCUUCGGGCCACAUGCUAUCGGAUGCGCCUACGUGGGAUU
This 200-nucleotide ribosomal RNA is filed under the name uncultured bacterium. RNAcentral describes it as "partial 16S ribosomal RNA". It matches the Rfam family "Bacterial small subunit ribosomal RNA", at positions 30 to 242 of the family's 1533-position model. The record is from RNAcentral.